GAGUAAGUUACUAAGGGCACACGGUGAAUGCCUAGGCUCUCAGAGGCGAAGAAGGACGUAAUAGACUGCGAUAAGCUGUGAGUAGGUGUCUAUAACCGCUCAGUCACAGAUUUCCGAAUGGGGCAACCUAUCCUUUUUAAAGGAUGAUAUAAUCGCAAACCUGCCGAACUGAAACAUCUAAGUAAGCAGAGGAAGAGAAAAUAAUAAUGAUUUCCUGAGUAGCGGCGAGCGAAAAGGAAAGAGCCCAAACCCAUGUAGUUUAGGCUAUGUGGGGGUUGUAG
This 281-nucleotide ribosomal RNA is filed under the name uncultured Bacteroidota bacterium. RNAcentral's name for it is "uncultured Bacteroidetes bacterium partial 23S ribosomal RNA". It matches the Rfam family "Bacterial large subunit ribosomal RNA", at positions 1 to 303 of the family's 2925-position model. Lineage: Bacteria; Pseudomonadati; Bacteroidota. The record is from RNAcentral.